UGUCUUCAUUAAUUUUAGUUGGCACUAAUUGUUGCCCAGUCAAGGGAUUCUAGUGGUAGUCUCUCAGGGAUUAAGUUACCUUCUCUCAGUAUUGGCUUACAAAGAAUCAGUAGCCUAGCAUUAAGACUAAAUGCAUCAGUUCAUUUACCAAGGAUAGGUCACUCUACUCCUCAUUUCAAUUGGUAUGGUACUGAGAGAUUAAUCAGAAAACAUCUCUCAAGCAAAGGAAUACCAACCUUUAUUUAUUAUUUUCCACGUCAUGGACAACACAAAACUAUACCAAGUGUCAGCCCUGAACUUCAUACUAAAGUAGUGGAUCCAUUACCUGAAAUAUUUACUGAUAUCAGUGUCUGUUUCUAUGGAAUUGAUGAGAGCACCAAACUCGUUCUAACCCGUUAUAUAAUAGC
Long non-coding RNA from Amphimedon queenslandica, 407 nucleotides. RefSeq lists it as uncharacterized. The record is from RefSeq and is a predicted model, not a curated record. NCBI's taxonomy places the organism in Eukaryota, Metazoa, Porifera, Demospongiae, Haplosclerida, Niphatidae. The transcript is spliced from 4 exons.